This 253-nucleotide ribosomal RNA is filed under the name uncultured bacterium. Its description in RNAcentral is "partial 16S ribosomal RNA". It matches the Rfam family "Bacterial small subunit ribosomal RNA", at positions 524 to 776 of the family's 1533-position model. The record is from RNAcentral.
UACGUAGGGUGCAAGCGUUGUCCGGAAUUAUUGUGCGUAAAGAGCUCGUAGGCGGUCAGUCGCGUCUGCUGUGAAAACUCGGGGCUUAACUCCGGGCCUGCAGUGGGUACGGGCUGACUAGAGUGCGGUAGGGGAGACUGGAAUUCCUGGUGUAGCGGUGAAAUGCGCAGAUAUCAGGAGGAACACCGGUGGCGAAGGCGGGUCUCUGGGCCGUAACUGACGCUGAGGAGCGAAAGCGUGGGGAGCGAACAGG